UAAUAAAAAAAUAACCAUAAACGAACGAUAACCCAAAUCAUUGAACUAUUCCACAAAUGGUUUGGAUGAUACCCAGAACACGUCGUUAAGCAAAUUAACCAUACAAUUUUUAUUAGGGAAGCGGUGCAUUUUGACGGUUCGAUUGGAACAACUUUUGACAGACGUCCAUACUUUUACUGUAGGGCUUUACACACGAAUUGCCGGCGACAAAGUGACGUCAUUUGACAUUGGGCGACUUAAAGACUGACGUUUUUAAAUUGGUGUAUUUUUUUUUGUCGUGCGCUCAGCCAUCUUGUCUGGUUUGUUUAUAAACAAACUAGACAAGAUGGCUGAGUGCACGGAGCGCACCGCAAAUUCCUUCACCCGAGCCGCGAAGGAAAUUAGCAACUUUAACACCGGCUGCUUCCAAUAAUUCCGGAGGUGUUCGGAAAUUGAAUAGAGGUAAGCUGAGCCGGCUGCUUCCAAUAAUUCCGGAUUAAGGGACGGGUACGGAAAUUGAAUAGAGCCGGCUGCUUCCAAUAAUUCCGGAGGUGUUCGGGAAUAGAGUGGCAACCACUUACGCCAGGGAGGCAAUUGAACACCUAGACCUGGACUCAUCAACUCAAGGGCCAGGAUCCACGGCUGUGCUUCUUUUCGAAGGAAGGCAUGACACCACCAAAGCAACCAAGGAAGUCAUCAAUCACCACCAACUGACGAGUUUCGUUUGUGGUU
Ochlerotatus camptorhynchus is the source of this 711-nucleotide long non-coding RNA. RefSeq lists it as uncharacterized. The record is from RefSeq and is a predicted model, not a curated record. The transcript is spliced from 5 exons. NCBI's taxonomy places the organism in Eukaryota, Metazoa, Arthropoda, Insecta, Diptera, Culicidae.